RNAcentral lists this ribosomal RNA (424 nucleotides) under uncultured bacterium. Its description in RNAcentral is "bacterial SSU rRNA". It matches the Rfam family "Bacterial small subunit ribosomal RNA", at positions 354 to 796 of the family's 1533-position model. The record is from RNAcentral.
GUGGGGAAUCUUGCGCAAUGGGCGAAAGCCUGACGCAGCGACGCCGCGUGAGCGAAGAAGGCCUUCGGGUCGUAAAGCUCAGUCAUUGGGGAUGAGAUGACAGUACCCAAGGAGGAAGCCCCGGCUAACUACGUGCCAGCAGCCGCGGUAAUACGUAGGGGGCGAGCGUUGUCCGGAAUUACUGGGUGUAAAGGGCGUGUAGGCGGGGGUGCAAGUUACCGGUAAAAACCCAGGGCUCAACUCUGGGCUUGCCGGUAAAACUGCAUCUCUUGAGUGUAGGAGAGGGAAGUGGAAUUCCCGGAGUAGCGGUGAAAUGCGUAGAUACCGGGAGGAACACCAGUGGCGAAGGCGGCUUCCUGGCCUACAACUGACGCUGAGGCGCGAAAGCUAGGGUAGCGAACGGGAUUAGAAACCCUAGUAGUCC